RNAcentral lists this long non-coding RNA (335 nucleotides) under Elaeis guineensis (African oil palm). RNAcentral describes it as "long non-coding RNA (EGUI_LNC009631)". Lineage: Eukaryota; Viridiplantae; Streptophyta; Magnoliopsida; Arecales; Arecaceae. The record is from RNAcentral.
UUUACUAACAUCACUUUGACCUUUCUCCCUUUCUCUCCUUCUUUCUCUUAUUUUAUUAAUUAUUUCUUUAUUUAUCUUUUAAUACUCUAAUUCAACCACAUCUGUUUACCUCUUAUAUUUAAACUUCACAUUAAUUUAUUUUUUAUAUUCUCUAAGGACCACAUCAAAAAAUAAAAAAAGUAAUUAUGAUUUAUAUUCUUUCUUUAAUGACUCAUAUAUCCCACCUCUCUCUCCCUCUCUCAUGCCACUUUGAACCCUCUUCCAUCUCUCUCAUUUUUUUCUUUUUCUUUAUUCAUUACUUCUUUAUUUAUCUUUUAAUGCUCCACUUCAACCCC